This is a long non-coding RNA of Salvelinus fontinalis (brook trout), 1835 nucleotides long. RefSeq lists it as uncharacterized. The transcript is spliced from 4 exons. The record is from RefSeq and is a predicted model, not a curated record. Lineage: Eukaryota; Metazoa; Chordata; Actinopteri; Salmoniformes; Salmonidae.
UCAUACUAGAGGUCCGCUGUAAGGUAACAUCAUACUAGAGGUCUGCUGUAAGGUAACAUCAUACUAGAGGUCCGCUGUAAAGUAACAUAAUACUAGAGGUCCGCUGUAAAGUAACAUAAUACUAGAGGUCCGCUGUAACGUAACAUAAUACUAGAGGUCCGCUGUAAAGUAACAUAAUACUAGAGGUCCGCUGUAAAGUAACAUAAUACUAGAGGUCCGCUGUAAAGUAACAUAAUACUAGAGGUCCGCUGUAAGGUAACAUAAUACUAGGGGUCCUCUGUAAGGUAACAUAAUACUAGAGGUCUGCUAUAAGGUAACAUAAUACUAGAGGUCCUCUGUAAGGUAACAUAAUACUAGAGGUCUGCUGUAAGGUAACGUAAUACUAGAGGUCCGCUGUAACGUAACGUAAUACUAGAGGUCCGCUGUAACGUAACGUAAUACUAGAGGUCCGCUGUAAGGUAACGUAAUACUAGGGGUCCUCUGUAAGGUAACAUAAUACUAGAGGUCUGCUAUAAGGUAACAUAAUACUAGAGGUCCUCUGUAAGGUAACAUAAUACUAGAGGUCUGCUGUAAGGUAACGUAAUACUAGAGGUCUGCUGUAAGGUAACGUAAUACUAGAGGUCUGCUGUAAGGUAACGUAAUACUAGAGGUCUGCUGUAAGGUAACGUAAUACUAGAGGUCUGCUGUAACGUAACAUAAUACUAGAGGUCCGCUGUAACGUAACAUAAUACUAGAGGUCCGCUGUAAGGUAACAUAAUACUAGAGGUCCUCUGUAAGGUAACAUAAUACUAGAGGUCCUCUGUAAGGUAACAUAAUACUAGAGGUCUGCUGUAAGGUAACGUAAUACUAGAGGUCUGCUGUAAGGUAACGUAAUACUAGAGGUCUGCUGUAAGGUAACGUAAUACUAGAGGUCUGCUGUAAGGUAACGUAAUACUAGAGGUCUGCUGUAACGUAACAUAAUACUAGAGGUCCGCUGUAACGUAACAUAAUACUAGAGGUCCGCUGUAAGGUAACAUAAUACUAGAGGUCCUCUGUAAGGUAACAUAAUACUAGAGGUCCUCUGUAAGGUAACAUAAUACUAGAGGUCCUCUGUAAGGUAACAUAAUACUAGAGGUCCUCUGUAAGGUAACAUAAUACUAGAGGUCUGCUGUAAGGUAACAUAAUACUAGAGGUCUGCUGUAAGGUAACGUAAUACUAGAGGUCUGCUGUAAGGUAACGUAAUACUAGAGGUCUGCUGUAAGGUAACGUAAUACUAGAGGUCCGCUGUAAGGUAACGUAAUACUAGAGGUCCUCUGUAAGGUAACGUAAUACUAGAGGUCUGCUGUAAGGUAACGUAAUACUAGAGGUCUGCUGUAAGGUAACGUAAUACUAGAGGUCUGCUGUAAGGUAACGUAAUACUAGAGGUCCGCUGUAAGGUAACGUAAUACUAGAGGUCCGCUGUAAGGUAACGUAAUACUAGAGGUCUGCUGUAAGGUAACGUAAUACUAGAGGUCUGCUGUAAGGUAACGUAAUACUAGAGGUCUGCUGUAAGGUAACGUAAUACUAGAGGUCUGCUGUAAGGUAACGUAAUACUAGAGGUCUGCUGUAAGGUAACGUAAUACUAGAGGUCCGCUGUAAGGUAACGUAAUACUAGAGGUCCGCUGUAAGGUAACGUAAUACUAGAGGUCCGCUGUAAGGUAACGUAAUACUAGAGGUCCGCUGUAAGGUAACGUAAUACUAGAGGUCUGCUGUAAGGUAACGUAAUACUAGAGGUCUGCUGUAAGGUAACGUAAUACUAGAGGUCUGCUGUAAGGUAACGUAAUACUAGAGGUCUGCCGUAAGGUAACGUAAUACUA